RNAcentral lists this long non-coding RNA (3232 nucleotides) under Nicotiana benthamiana. RNAcentral describes it as "long non-coding RNA (NBEN_LNC028118)". The record is from RNAcentral. Lineage: Eukaryota; Viridiplantae; Streptophyta; Magnoliopsida; Solanales; Solanaceae.
AACUCUAGACCUAUAAGACGCUAAGGAGCUGCAAUACACGGGAGGAUACACAAAAAUGAUACCUGAAAUGAGGAGACCUAAAAAGACGCCUAAAAAAGGACACUGAAAAGGGUCUGAGAAAAGGUGCAACGUAGAGGACCCCUCUCCCCCAGAUCGUCUUCUCCGAUCCCCCUCGCUUGUUCAUUUUCUUUGGCAACAAGAACCAAAAAAAGAGACCCCACCCCUUGUGACUUCGUCUUCUUCGCUCCACCCAUCGACCAUCCAAAAUUCCAUCUUCUCUUUCACUUUGAGAGGACUUAUAGCAGCCAUGAACAAGGGACCUUAGGCCAGCCAUGUCAAAUUUCUCCACAUUAGCAAGCAGUCUUUACACCCAAACACCAUUCCCCAUUGAUCUUCUUCAUCAUCAACCAAACAACUCGAACCAGCCACUGUUCGUCGGAAACCAGAUGCGCGACAUUACAGACGACCACCAUUGAAACUGGCAAACACACAAACACACAAAACUAGUGGGAAAUACACCAGAAAUAGUGACAGCACAUGAGAGUUUUCUAGUCUUCGAGCCAUUGGGGUCGUCAUCGAGUUUUCCAGUCCAAGUCCUUAUUGUCAAUUUCCCGUUGAAGUCGUAUGUACGAUCUCAUUUGGAGGGUCGAUUUCUGACUGUAAUUGUCACUUCAUUUCAAUCCAUGUAAUUGCUGCAUUUCAAUUAAUCAGAAAGCUAAUUUCAGGUUACGUCUCCUUUACUACAUAUUGGAUCUGAAUAUGAUUUGAGCUAGUAUUUGGGGUUGUAUUUCUCUUGUGGUUGUCUGCAAUUUUCUUGGCUUUGUAGUUGUUAGUAAAUCAUGAAUUGGCUAUGGAUGUUGUAUGAUUCAUUGAUAGUGUUAUCUAAUUUUCAAAUAUGAGCAAUGUGUGUUGUUGACGAAUUAAAAUUUGGGAGGAAAGCAUUGCCCUAUUCAUGAGUAUUUUCCUACUCAGCUUAGAGAUUUCUGAUGCUUUUAACAUGUCAAGUAUGCCAUAGAAUGGAAAAUUCAAUCGAGAGUUUCUUCACAAAAAAUUGUGUUGUGAUUUGUUGUGAGCUUUUUAGUGAUUUGGUUGAAGAACUUCGAAAUUUGGGGAGUGUUUUGGGGUAUUGUAAUAUGCUGUGAAAAGUUAGAUUUUUUAAAAAGAUUAUUGAAUGCGCCUGUUAAGUUAGAAUUAGGAAUGUGAUUGUUAUUUUAAAGAGUUAAUUUACUAGUUCUAUAAUCUUGAUUGGGAAUAACCCUUUAAUAAUUGAGGUGAGCUAUAUUAUAUAAUACAAAUAGUGUAUGACCCUAACCUUAAUUAAGAAUUUUAAAUGUUUAGAUGUAAGGUGUGCCUUCGCAAUUUGGUUUGAGUUUUCUUUUAAAAUUCGUUUUGAGGUGUGCCGUGCCAAAUAAAAUCUCAAAAAUACAUGGCCCUCAUUUGAUUAAUAUUUUAUCCUUAGAAAUCGAGGCCUUCCAUUUAGGGAAUUUUUCGUGGCCCUCGCAAGGUUAAAAACGCAUAGUUGCUUUAGGUACAUAAUUUAAAAUUACCUUCCAAAACUCGGGUGUGCAUAUCAUGUGAUCCAAAUCUAAAUCUUAACAACGCUAAAUAAAAUAUGUCUCGGACUGCGGGUGCAUUUCAUGUGGCAGGGUCCAAAUAACCGUUUACGCUGACGUUGAAAUCUUCCUUAAAAUGAUUAGAAGCGGUUUUAAAAUUAAAAUGUACAUAGGUUAAAAAGUAUUUUAAAAUCGGAUAAUUGGGCCAAUAAUAACAGUUGAGCAACCGUACUAAAAUCACGGAACCUGGGAAUGCUUAACACCUUCUCCCAAGUUAGCAGAAUUCCUUAUUCGAAUUUCUGUGUUCAUGGACUGUAAUACAGAGUCAAUCUUUUCCUUGAUUCGGGAUUUAAAUCGAUAACUUGGGACGCCAUAAAACUAUCUCAAGUGGCGAUUAUGAAUUUGUAAUAAAAUAAUCCUGUUUUGAUUGUCAUAAUAAGUUGGAAAAAACUCCCCUUAUACACUCCCUUUCAGGUGGCGUAGUAAAAAAGGAGGUGUGACAGCUCUGGUGACUCUGCUGGGGAUCGAACCCAGAAUCUCUUGUUCAGGGUUCAAGAAUUAGAGCUUAGUUAAAUUGUUAUAUUUUGCUUUAUUUAUUAUUUGAUUGUAUUACAUGUUUGGGCUUAAUAUGCUAAAUGUUGCUUUUACUGCUUUGAUAUUCUGUGAACUGUAUAUAAAUUACUACAAAACCCUUCUUCUCUCUGAGUCUUCUAAAUUAUGUGAGAAGGGUGCACUUCAUGUGAUUUCUUUUCUGUCUAGAGUCUAUCCAAGUUUAGAAUGAGGUUUGGACAAGUUGCAAAGCCGGUGAAGCUUUUGUAUUCCUGGUACGCUGGCUCCCCUCGGCUCGAGUUGUCCGUUGGGGUAAGCCAGGUCAAGAACAACAAACCCUAUUUUUUUAUACCUAGAAUAACUCAGCCUCAUGCUGGGUCCCUAGUAGAAACAUUUAUUUGCAUCACGUGCAUUUGACUUAGGGGACUCAACACAAGGGUAGGGUAUAUCUACGACAGGUGUACCUAAAAUGAAGACCACCGUGAUACAUCCUAUGUGCUACAUGUUGUAUUUUUUCAAGGAUAAAAGGAUCCUUUGAUAGACCAAUGAUAGUUGAGGGCAAACCAAAAAAGUGAAAAAAGAGAAAAAAAGAGAGGUUGAAGUUUGAAGAUAAAACGAGUAUGGCUCGAUUAUGUUUUCUAUCACAUCUUUAUUAAGAAAAAGACAAAAAAAUGAUGAAAAUUCAAAAAGUAUUUUGCACUUUUUCAUAUUUUCCGAAAAUCAAAAAUAAAAAAAAUUGGGAAUGAAAAUCCAAAAAUAGUUUAUAUGUUUCAUCAUUUUUCAAAACAAAAGACAAAAAAUAUGUCUUCUCUUAAUUAGUUGAUUUUUUGUUAUUUCUCGGCCAUAUCAAAUCUGCCGGAACUACGCAUAUUUAAUUCUCGUCUUUCGAGGUGUGAUACGUAUGUAACCCAGAUAGAGUUGGGUCUCCUAGUGAUAAUAGGUUCUUGGCUUUGCAGGGUCAAAGCCAAAUGUUGCAUUUUUAGUCACUUUUAACCACAUAGGUUAAUUCCAAAAAAAAUAACCACAAUCAUGUCUCAUAUGUGUCCAACUAGAAGGGUUAUUGUCUCAUAUAGUAUUCUAGGUCUUUAACUUUAUUUGGUCUAAUUUUCUCAUACAGGUGAGGAGCUGCU